Non-coding RNA from Cryptomeria japonica (Japanese cedar), 85 nucleotides. The record is from the annotation of a RefSeq genome assembly. Lineage: Eukaryota; Viridiplantae; Streptophyta; Pinopsida; Cupressales; Cupressaceae.
GUCAGGAUGGCCGAGUCGUCUAAGGCGCCAGACUCAAGUUUGUGGUCCUCUAACGAGGGCGUGGGUUCAAAUCCCACUUCUGACA